AUGAAUGUUGAAAUUCUGAAUUUUUUUGGAAAUGGAAUUGGAAGAGAAUUUCAUUAUGAAUUGUUUUGUAUUGGAAUCUCUGAAUCCUUUCCGAUUUCGAUCCAUUCGAAAAUUGGCGGGAAACAAUUAAUUAGGACUAUUAAAAAUGGUGAAUGGCUAACUAUGAAUUUUGAAUUUAAGACAUUCUCCAAUAACAUAGACGUUGUGUUACUAAACCAAAUGGUCAUUGGACAUUUGA
Molecule: long non-coding RNA, 238 nt
Filed under: Prunus dulcis (almond)
Lineage: Eukaryota; Viridiplantae; Streptophyta; Magnoliopsida; Rosales; Rosaceae
Description: sRNA ncRNA
Source: RNAcentral